This 326-nucleotide ribosomal RNA is filed under the name uncultured bacterium. RNAcentral's name for it is "bacterial SSU rRNA". It matches the Rfam family "Bacterial small subunit ribosomal RNA", at positions 467 to 793 of the family's 1533-position model. The record is from RNAcentral.
AUUUGACGUUAGCUGCAGAAGAAGCACCGGCUAACUCCGUGCCAGCAGCCGCGGUAAUACGGAGGGUGCGAGCGUUAAUCGGAAUUACUGGGCGUAAAGCGCAUGCAGGUGGUUUGUUAAGUCAGAUGUGAAAGCCCGGGGCUCAACCUCGGAAUUGCAUUUGAAACUGGCAAACUAGAGUACUGUAGAGGGGGUAGAAUUUCAGGUGUAGCGGUGAAAUGCGUAGAGAUCUGAAGGAAUACCGGUGGCGAAGGCGGCCCCCUGGACAGAUACUGACACUCAGAUGCGAAAGCGUGGGGAGCAAACAGGAUUAGAUACCCUGGUAG